RNAcentral lists this ribosomal RNA (209 nucleotides) under uncultured bacterium. RNAcentral's name for it is "partial 16S ribosomal RNA". It matches the Rfam family "Bacterial small subunit ribosomal RNA", at positions 29 to 219 of the family's 1533-position model. The record is from RNAcentral.
AACGAACGCUGGCGGCGUGCCUAACACAUGCAAGUCGAGCGCGAACAUAACCUUCGGUUAUAAGUAGAGCGGCGAACGGGUGAGUAACACGUGGGAAAUCUGCCCUCAGGAUCGGAAUAACUCAGGGAAACUUGAGCUAAUACCGGAUAAGACCACAGGUCCAUGCGAUCUGUGAGAAAAGCGGAGGCCUUCUUCGGAAGCUUCGUACC